Cervus hanglu yarkandensis (Yarkand deer) is the source of this 107-nucleotide small nuclear RNA. The record is from Ensembl. Lineage: Eukaryota; Metazoa; Chordata; Mammalia; Artiodactyla; Cervidae.
GUCCUCGCUUCAACUGCACAUAUACUAAAAUUGGAACGAUUCAGAGAAGAUUAGUACGGCCCCCGCACAAGGAUGACACGCAAGUUCAUGAAGCGUUCCUUAUUUUU